AAAUUCCAUAUAGAACAUUUUGUUCCUGGGCGUAAAGGGAUGGUUUUACCAGUCAGUAAUAUUUUACUAGCAGAAUCUAAUCUUUUUCAAUAAAUAAUAGGUGUGCCCUCAGCACAUCUCUAACAUUGUUCUUGAUCAAGCACAAUCCAUGCAGGUGUAAUAUAAAGAGUUAUAAUCACGUUCAUGCACAACACGAGCAAUCCACCCGUGGAAUUUGAUCAUCAACAAGCCAGCUCCAUGAUUUCCUCUGUUGGUUUCACGGUCAUUAGCAGACGACGUGGUGUUGUGCAUCCUAGCGAAGAGAAAUCCCACCACUGGAAAAUUCGACCUCCUGAGCAGGUGGUAGAGACGAAACCCA
RNAcentral lists this unclassified non-coding RNA (358 nucleotides) under Hevea brasiliensis (rubber tree). Lineage: Eukaryota; Viridiplantae; Streptophyta; Magnoliopsida; Malpighiales; Euphorbiaceae. The record is from RNAcentral.